RNAcentral lists this ribosomal RNA (502 nucleotides) under uncultured bacterium. RNAcentral's name for it is "partial 16S ribosomal RNA". It matches the Rfam family "Bacterial small subunit ribosomal RNA", at positions 30 to 523 of the family's 1533-position model. The record is from RNAcentral.
AUUGAACGCUGGCGGAAUGCUUUACACAUGCAAGUCGAACGGCAGCACGGGUGCUUGCACCUGGUGGCGAGUGGCGAACGGGUGAGUAAUACAUCGGAACGUACCCAGUUGUGGGGGAUAACUAACCGAAAGGUUAGCUAAUACCGCAUACGACCUGAGGGUGAAAGCGGGGGACCGUAAGGCCUCGCGCAAUUGGAGCGGCCGAUGUCUGAUUAGCUAGUUGGUAGGGUAAAGGCCUACCAAGGCGACGAUCAGUAGCUGGUCUGAGAGGAGGAUCAGGCACACUGGAACUGAGACACGGUCCAGACUCCUACGGGAGGCAGCAGUGGGGAAUUUUGGACAAUGGGCGAAAGCCUGAUCCAGCCAUUCCGCGUGAGUGAAGAAGGCCUUCGGGUUGUAAAGCUCUUUCGGCAGGGAAGAAACGGCCUAGGUUAAUACCUUGGGCUAAUGACGGUACCUGAAGAAGAAGCACCGGCUAACUACGUGCCAGCCGCCGCGGUAA